UACGUAGGGUGCGAGCGUUAAUCGGAAUUACUGGGCGUAAAGCGUGCGCAGGCGGUUCGUUAAGUCAGAUGUGAAAGCCCCGGGCUCAACCUGGGAACUGCAUUUGAAACUGGCGGGCUUGAGUGUGGCAGAGGGGGGUGGAAUUCCGCGUGUAGCAGUGAAAUGCGUAGAGAUGCGGAGGAACACCGAUGGCGAAGGCAGCCCCCUGGGCCAACACUGACGCUGAGGCGCGAAGGCGUGGGGAGCGAACGGG
RNAcentral lists this ribosomal RNA (253 nucleotides) under uncultured bacterium. Its description in RNAcentral is "partial 16S ribosomal RNA". It matches the Rfam family "Bacterial small subunit ribosomal RNA", at positions 524 to 776 of the family's 1533-position model. The record is from RNAcentral.